ACAUCAGCAACUCUCAAUCCAAAUCCGAACGAACCCUACCCGAACCAGCUUCGACCCGUCUCCAUCAACAAACAGCUCCAACACAAGCGAAAUCUGACCUAAACCCGCGAUUACGCACCAUCAAAAAAUCUCGAGUCUUCUAAAACAAGCUAGGUGUCACCCCCAACGGCUCAAUUUCACGAAUCUCGGGAUAAGGGUACGAUUUCGUACAUAUUUGGUGGAUUUCUAUUGGUUCUUGAUGGAACUCAUUUUUCCCAAAUCCUAUUGGUCCACCCAUACCGAAUUAUCCAAGAAAAAACAACAAAUUGGUAUAAUUUGUUGGGGGGUAAUUCAAUUUGAGUUCAAAUUUUGAAUUCCUUUUGGAAAAGAAAUUCCUAAAUUACCCUCAAAUUGGCUUCUAUAUAAAGAGCGCACUGUUGAGCUGGGUUGGGGGGGAUUUUUCGCUGGGGGUUGGAAAUUCUUGGUUUAGAAAUUUUAGUGUGAAAAAAAAUCUUCCUGAGAAAAGUUGAGUUCGACAACUAGGGGAAAAGUUUCGGAAGAAAAGAAACAUAGCAUAUUUUAGUAUAAGCUCUUUGGUCGACGACUGCUCGAAGCUUUUCGGAGUCGAGGCGUUGAACUUUCCAGUGGUGGUGGAGUCUAACGCCAUCUCGUAGCCCUGUUUUGCUGCUCCCGAAUAGGUGGAUCGAGAUUCAAGCCAAAGGCUCAAAAGCUAGAUUAGGACAGGUGAAAUGGGUGGAAGAUCCAAUUAGACUAGGACAGGUCUUAUUGAUUUUUGC
Long non-coding RNA from Capsicum annuum, 776 nucleotides. RefSeq lists it as uncharacterized. The transcript is spliced from 2 exons. The record is from RefSeq and is a predicted model, not a curated record. NCBI's taxonomy places the organism in Eukaryota, Viridiplantae, Streptophyta, Magnoliopsida, Solanales, Solanaceae.